RNAcentral lists this non-coding RNA (45 nucleotides) under Schistosoma margrebowiei. Lineage: Eukaryota; Metazoa; Platyhelminthes; Trematoda; Strigeidida; Schistosomatidae. The record is from RNAcentral.
AUCUGGCUGACGAGUCCUAAAUAGAACGAAACACGUGUCCUGAAU